This 69-nucleotide antisense RNA is filed under the name Umezawaea tangerina. RNAcentral describes it as "ASpks TB sRNA". It matches the Rfam family "ASpks TB sRNA". The record is from Rfam by way of RNAcentral. Lineage: Bacteria; Bacillati; Actinomycetota; Actinomycetes; Pseudonocardiales; Pseudonocardiaceae.
CUUGACCGACCCCAGCAACAACGGUCGGUCACGAUCCUGACCGUAGGUCGCCAGCAGCGCCUGCGCCUC